UACGUAGGGUGCAAGCGUUAAUCGGAAUUACUGGGCGUAAAGCGUGCGCAGGCGGCUUUGCCAGACAGCUGUGAAAGCCCGGGGCUCACCCCCGGAAGUGCAUUGGAAACUGGCGGACUCGAGUCCCGGAGAGGAGGGUGGAAUUCCUGGUGUAGCGGUGAAAUGCGUAGAUAUCAGGAGGAACACCGGUGGCGAAGGCGACCCUCUGGACGGUGACUGACGCUGAGACGCGAAAGCGUGGGGAGCAAACAGG
Molecule: ribosomal RNA, 253 nt
Filed under: uncultured bacterium
Lineage: Bacteria
Description: partial 16S ribosomal RNA
Rfam family: Bacterial small subunit ribosomal RNA
Source: RNAcentral